AUAAGGAAGUAUUAAAUUAUCCAAGUCCAUAUCUAAUAUGGAGAUUUGGUAACCGAUUUGCUCAAAAUGUUCUUAAGCAUAUAUCAAGUAAUCUCUAAAAUAUAACCUCAGACAGACCAGCAAACCUCACAGUAGAUCGAACCAUGUCUAACAAAGUUUGAUUCCUCUUUUCAGACAUCUUUUUUAAACAAUAAUGUCCCAGGAGAGGUCCAUUAAAGGAGAAUCAAAUUCUCUUCAAGACAUGUCAAAAAUUUAUUGUAAAGAUAUUCACUUCAUCAGUCUAACUGAUGAGUUCUAAUACUCUUUGUAGUUUAUUUUUCUAUUUCAUUAUAGAAUCGUUUGAAUAUUUCAACCGAUUCAGACUUGUGCUUCAUAAGCAAGAUGCACCCAUGCCCAGAU
This 399-nucleotide long non-coding RNA is filed under the name Elaeis guineensis (African oil palm). RNAcentral describes it as "long non-coding RNA (EGUI_LNC081224)". Lineage: Eukaryota; Viridiplantae; Streptophyta; Magnoliopsida; Arecales; Arecaceae. The record is from RNAcentral.